CUUUAGCCCCGGUAGAAGUGAAAAUCCUUCUAAGCUGGUGUUCAGCUUAGAAGAUUGCAACGGAUGGCGGGACAAAUG
This 78-nucleotide small RNA is filed under the name Flavobacterium sp. A45. RNAcentral's name for it is "Flavo-1 RNA". It matches the Rfam family "Flavo-1 RNA". The record is from Rfam by way of RNAcentral. Lineage: Bacteria; Pseudomonadati; Bacteroidota; Flavobacteriia; Flavobacteriales; Flavobacteriaceae.